CGAAACUCAAAGGAAUUGACGGGGGCCCGCACAAGCGGUGGAGCAUGUGGUUUAAUUCGAUGCAACGCGAAGAACCUUACCUGGGCUUGACAUCCCGAGAAUCCCCUGGAAACUAGGGGAGUGCCUUUCGGGGAACUCGGAGACAGGUGCUGCAUGGUUGUCGUCAGCUCGUGUCGUGAGGUGUUGGGUUAAGUCCCCGCAACGAGCGCAACCCCUACGUUUAGUUGCUAACGUGUAACGAUGAGCACUCUAGGCGGACUGCCGUUGACAAAACGGAGGAAGGUGGGAUGACGUCAAAUCAUCAUGCCCCUUAUGUUCUGGGCUACACACGUGCUACAAUGGCCGGUACAAAGGGACGCAAAGCCGCGAGGUGGAGCAAAUCCGAUAAAAGCCGGUCUCAGUUCGGAUUGCAGGCUGCAAUUCGCCUGCAUGAAGUCGGAAUCGCUAGUAAUCGCAGGUCAGCAUACUGCGGUGAAUACCGUUCCCGGGCCUU
RNAcentral lists this ribosomal RNA (493 nucleotides) under uncultured Cryptanaerobacter sp. RNAcentral's name for it is "bacterial SSU rRNA". It matches the Rfam family "Bacterial small subunit ribosomal RNA", at positions 895 to 1382 of the family's 1533-position model. Lineage: Bacteria; Bacillati; Bacillota; Clostridia; Eubacteriales; Desulfotomaculaceae. The record is from RNAcentral.